UUUUUAGUAAAAGUAUGUCUCAUGCAAUGUUUGAGACAUAUUUGCACUAAAU
Molecule: microRNA precursor, 52 nt
Filed under: Equus asinus (donkey)
Lineage: Eukaryota; Metazoa; Chordata; Mammalia; Perissodactyla; Equidae
Also listed under: 1 other name
Description: mir-1302 microRNA precursor family
Rfam family: mir-1302 microRNA precursor family
Source: Rfam by way of RNAcentral